AUCACAAAAACAAACUAAAAGUCAUGAAAAUUCAUUUAGAUUUAGAUUGAAGACACAUCCACCUUAAUUAUUAAAAAGUAUCGGUAUUGGUAUCGGUAUCGGCGAUACUGUCGAGAUGUUUAUCGCUAUGAAAUCACGUUCAAGAAGUCUCAUUCAGCGCACAUCGCGAUAUUUGCCAUCAGUUUACAUGUGCCACAGGUUGGCUGAAAAGACGUAAAGGAAGCAGUCAGCCCAGUCGUGUUUGUGGAGAGGUAUUCCUUCAGAAAUGGAGAAGACAGAAAGCUGCGGAGGCACACAUUUGCAGCAGAUUGUUUGCAGAUAAUGCUGUCCUUCUCCAUCAUGCACAAGGACUCACCUCUUUAACUCUUUAUCCCCCACACACACAGAAAUGGUCCCUGGAUCAGUGUUUAGACUUUGCAGUGGUUUGAUUUUUGCAGAAAAUGCAACUUUGUUUUAGUUAUAAGCUUUGUUUUAGACCUUCCAGCAACCCAUAUACUGUAUACAGAACCAGUGAUGAAAACAAUAGUUGAAAAUAGUAUUUCCGUAUUGAUAAAGCAUUGUGUUCUCUUUUUCAAGGUUCAUACAGUAAACUUUACUUCUGGUGCUUUUAUCAUAAAAAAGCAUCAGUUCUCAUCAGGAGUUUUAGUAAAGGACAUAUUCAUGCACAGCCAUCCCCUAGUUCCAGUCAUGAAGUGAAUGAUGUUAUUGUCAGUUAUAUUUCUGCAUUUUAUGUAGCAGGUGUUUGUUUUCCUGAACACUU
Long non-coding RNA from Cyprinus carpio (common carp), 760 nucleotides. RefSeq lists it as uncharacterized. The record is from RefSeq and is a predicted model, not a curated record. The transcript is spliced from 3 exons. NCBI's taxonomy places the organism in Eukaryota, Metazoa, Chordata, Actinopteri, Cypriniformes, Cyprinidae.